This 1336-nucleotide ribosomal RNA is filed under the name Chaetosciara sp. 1 SS-2012. RNAcentral describes it as "eukaryotic LSU rRNA". It matches the Rfam family "Eukaryotic large subunit ribosomal RNA", at positions 664 to 1859 of the family's 3401-position model. The record is from RNAcentral. Lineage: Eukaryota; Metazoa; Arthropoda; Insecta; Diptera; Sciaridae.
GACCAAGAAGUCUAACAUGUGUGCGAGUCAUUGGGUAUAUUGUUGAAACCUAAGGGCGUAAUUAAAAUAACUAUUUUAUGGGAUUACAAGUGAAUUAAUUUUCAUUUCUCCAUCCCGGGGCGUUCUAUGUGAACAUGAAUCAAGCAAUUGGUCCCUCUGUUCGAGAGCGUACCUUGAGCAUACAUGCUGUGACCCGAAAGAUGGUGAACUAUACCUGAUCAGAUCGAAGCCAGGAGAAAUUCUGGUGGAGGAUCGAAACAGUUCUGACGUGCAAAUCGAUUGUCAGAAUUGGGUAUAGGGGCGAAAGACCAAUCGAACCAUCUAGUAGCUGGUUCCCUCCGAAGUUUCCCUCAGGAUAGCUGGCGCAAAGAAUUAUAUUAUAUAUAAUCUUAUCUGGUAAAGCGAAUGAUUAGAGGCCUUGGGGCCGAAACGACCUCAACCUAUUCUCAAACUUUAAAUGGGUAAGAACCUCAUCUUUCUUGAUCUGAAGAUAUUGGGGUUUAGAUAUAUUGUGCCCAGUGGGCCACUUUUGGUAAGCAGAACUGGCGCUGUGGGAUGAACCAAACAUGAUGUUACGGCGCCUAAAUUAAUGACUCAUAUUGAUACCAUGAAAGGCGUUGGUUGCUUAAAACAGCAGGACGGUGGACAUGGAAGUCGUAAUCCGCUAAGGAGUGUGUAACAACUCACCUGCCGAAGCAACUAGCCCUUAAAAUGGAUGGCGCUCAAGUCAUAUGCCUAUACAUCAUCGCUAGAAUAAAAAUUGUUGACUAUUUUAUGGUGAUCAUUGUGAAAUUCUAGUGAGUAGGAGGGUACAAUGGUGUGCGCAGAAGUGUUUGGCGUGAGCCUGCAUGAAGCCGCCAUUGGCACAGAUCUUGGUGGUAGUAGCAAAUAAUCGAAUGAGAUCUUGGAGGACUGAAGUGGAGAAGGGUUUCGUGUGAACAGUGGUUGAUCACGAGUUAGUCGGUCCUAAGCUUUAUGCGAAAGCUGUUUAAUUUAUGUUACACAUUUAAUUUUGUUGUACAUAAUUCAAUAAAAGCGAAAGGGAAUACGGUUCCAAUUCCGUAACCUGUUGAGUAUACGUUUGUUUAUUAAAAAUGGGUCUUAUUACACUCAUCCUGGCAACAGGAACGACCAUAGAGAAGCCUUCGAGAGAUACUGGAAGAGUUUUCUUUUCUGCUAAACAAAUGUAUCACCAUGGAAGUCUUUUAUAGAGAGAUAUGGUGAAUGGCUUGGAAGAGCAUGACAUUUACUGUUGUGUCAGUAUUUUCUCCUUGGACCUUGAAAAUCUAUGGUGGGGCCACGCAAACUUCUCAACAGACCGUACCGAUAUCCGCAG